This is a non-coding RNA of Triticum urartu, 5676 nucleotides long. NCBI's taxonomy places the organism in Eukaryota, Viridiplantae, Streptophyta, Magnoliopsida, Poales, Poaceae. The record is from RefSeq and is a predicted model, not a curated record.
UAAUCCCCCUGUUUGUGAGAAAUUAACCCGGAGUCCAGUAAAUAAGUUAGAAAAACGUUUCGUAUUUCUGCCAGAAAAUACGAGCGACCACGCCUCCCACCCCAUCUGGAUCCGCCGCCUCCACGCCACCGGCCGGCGUCCUCCGCCACGCCAUCCACCGCCGUGCCGUCCUCCCCGCACCGCGGCCUGCCUCCUCUCCGCCGUGCCCUCCUCCUCGCGCCGUCCGAGUCCUCCGCGCGCCGUUCGCCGACGCCGAGGCCCAGGCCAGCCCGCUCCGGGCCCGCGCCGCCGACGGCGACGGGCUGCUCAGCACGCUUCUCGCUGCCAUGGGCAACGACCGGGAGGAGGAGGAGGACGCGCAGGAGGCGGGGUAGCGUCAGAAUCAGCGCACGUCGGAUCCAGCAUGCUGCUCCUCUCCCUUCCCAAGUCGCCCUGGAUCUCGCGAUGCUGGAGGUGGCCGCGGUCGUUGCUAUGGAGGGCUCGCCACCCGCCUCCGGAGUCCCACGUCCUCGAGAUCAACGAGAUUGCCAAGCCGAGGUCAUCAUCUCUCGACGGGCUCCUCCAUCACUUCUGGUUUCACACAAUGGCUGUGGGCUGCCUCUCCCUCUCGAUCCUGCGCUCCUCCUCCUCCGGUUCAGGUUUCAGGCCGUGGCUUAUGGUCGCCUCUCCAUAUCCAUCCUUCCAAUCUGGAGCACAGGUGGAGAGCCUGGCUGUGUGUGGCGGAGAUGGCGCCCCGCAUCUGCGCCCUAUAAGCCCAGACAGAGCUCCGCCGAGGCCAUGACCUCCACAGGAUUCGAUAGCCAUGCCCUGGAGAGAGACAGCUCACAAAUUAGUGCAGUUAACAAGAAGCAAUUGAACCGAAGAUCUUACGAGAUGGCUUGCAAAUCCAGGUGUCAAACAGAAUUUCGGUAAUAUAUAUUAUGUAUACGGUACUUGGAAGGGAUGCUUACCAGGUAAAUACCACUUAAAAUCUAGGUCCAGUAACUAUCCAGUUGCAGAUUCACUGCAAGUUUGUGCGACAGAUAUACAUAUAUAUAGAUCAACUAGGAUUUAGGUUUAACUCUAUGGUACAAUUGAAAGACUAGGGAGAAGAGGGUGGAUUGUACUACCUGAUUGCUUGAUGUACAUCCGAAAGAGAUUCAGUUGCUCUGAAUAUUCUGAUUUGCCACAUGGUCGCCAGUGUGAAUAGCGCCUUUAGCGAUUUGUACAACAAACAGACCAAGCUCUACAUAAAAUGAUUUUGUUUUCAUGAGUGAAUCUUUUAAUGACGUCAUUACCAUCCCCUUUCCAACGAACAACAUACAAGCUUUGUUCUCUGAAGUUUAAGAAUAGUGCAACCAUCUUGCCUUUCCAAAGAAUAACAUAUAUAUUUUUAACCUUAAUAGUGCAGCCAGCUAGCUGUAGUGCACUUAUCUCUAAGCCCAGCUCCUCUUUAAUCCAUAAACUUAUCCGUAACCAAAGGCUAGACGUAUAUUCAACGUAAUUCUAUUCAUUGAGUUGAGUUUCUUACUUCAGUAUGCCCUGGGGUAUAGUAAGUUCCAUUUUCAAUGUUCCAGGGACCACUUCCAGUAAGUUUCCACUCGACAUCAGCAGUAAUGUCCACUACCUGUAUCAGCAUGGUUAUCGCAGAAGAUAAUCAGGGCAAAUAUCAUAAGCAAAUUACAACUUUAGAAUCUCCGAAUUCUAAUAGAUUUCUAAUAUCCUUCAAAACAUGAUGUGUGAGCACUCUUUAGAUAUUCCAGUAAGUUCCUUUCUACAGGUGUUCUUACAUCUCCUGAAUGGAUGUUUCUCUUUGCAUUUCGGCCGCUCGGCCCACUUCCGAUGAUCCACUACAUCAUCACUGUUUGGUAACUGGUUAGAUACUCUUCAAUCUCCUUAUAGAAAGGUCCACAAAUGCACAAUCAAUAGAUACAUAUAGAACUGUGUAAGUCUGAACAUACAUGUGGGUCAAAACAUGGUGCGCUCCACCAAGCUUCUCAAUCUUGUCCACCAGUUUCGGCGUAUACCUUAGACUGAAAUAUUAAGAGGUUAUCAGAACAACUACAGCGAAUAUAAUCACUCUUUUCAGACCAAAUAAGGAAUCAAUCUCAUGAUGGUUGAUACUUGAUGCAGCGGAGGAUCACAGGUGUACUGCCAGCAGUUUCAAUUUAACCGGGUGGUUGCCAUCAUCGUGAGACUACCAACUGGAGGAGCUGCAACGGCUCUUUAUUCCAGCCGUAUCCGAUGCCCCGAGCCGGAACUUUCAGGUCACCUACAGCACACGGUGCUCGUGGCGCGCCGUUGGCGCCGGCGUCGGCAGGGACACGGGAAGGUGCUCGUUGCCGCGCUCCCGGAACCCCUCAAGCAGCUCAUGCUCGUUCGGCCGUGCAGGACGGCGUUGUAGCACUAUCGUUGGAUGUGAAUCGCAUCAAAAUCGGAAUCAGUCUGCGCGCUAAUGUGGCGUGUUUCCGCCUUUGCUACACUGUGAUUGACUGAUGGUUAGAUCGUUGAUGCUGCAGUCUGAUGAGGUCUCGGGGUGUGUCUUGUGCUUGAUUUUUGACGCCACGAGCUCCUGGUGAGUUUGCUCCCCUGAGUCAUUAUAGAGGGAGUGAGAUGGUCAGAAGGGAGAAGAACAAAAAACCUUGCUGCCGGAGAUGACAUCCACACCAUUUUUUGUGUGUUGGAGUGAUUGAACCAUGGCAAUCAGAGCUGGCAUAUUUAUUCCAUUCUGUACACCAAGAGAUUAUGCUAUUUUCCUUUUACUGAAGCAGUUAUGAUUGAGUAGUACAUUGUUAUCAUUCUCAACAACUUCAUUCAUGACACCUUUGAUACUCAUGUAUGAGAAAGAACUUUCAGUGAUUGAGUUACUUUAUUUGACUUUAUGUUGUUCAGGAGGGGAGGCCGCAAGGCGGGAGAGCCAGUAGCGGCAUUCUGUUUGGGGAUGCGUGGAUCUGGUGAUGCUGGAGCAGGGGAACAGGAAACAUCACAUCCGCAACGGCGUUUCAAAUAGCCAAUUUACCUUUCUCCCUAAAGGUUUCUUGCUCUGCUGUCAGUAUCACUGGUCUUGGGGUUUAGAUUUUGUCAAUAUCAAAAUCUGGGUACUUACCAGCAAACGAGUUGUUGAUCUAUUUACUUAGUCAAGUUCAUUUCUGCUAUGUUCUUCAGUCAAGCUUCAGCUUCUAGCCUUGAUUAAAUGGCAAUGAUAUUCUCCAAAACCUACUAAUGUCAGAAAUCCUGCUACCCAACAGGAUGGUCUGCCAAGUGAUGUGAGCACUACUCAGUGUGUGGCACACGUUCAUUAGGAUUGCAAACAAGAUUUGAGAUAGGGAACAUCGUCUGAUGGGACAGCUCCUGAAUCAAUGUCACAUAAGGCAACAACAUACUUGGAGGAGUUGAGAUGAGUUGAUCACAUCCUCAUUUGUCUUUGCAUGUUGCAACAGGGGCAGUGUACUUUUUUUAUAGCAAAACAUUCCUACUUUAGAUAGAAGAACUUAUGGGGCACAUCAGAUGUACUGACCACUCCUUAGUCCCAAGAACGGGACUAACAAUUUUUCUCAAGUUCUGCUGCUGUAUUGUACAAGAAGUCUGUUCAUCAAACUGCCUUAUCAACCAUUUGCUAUUAACCCUCAAACAUCUAACUUUUUUUUGACAUCCUCAAACAUCUGACAUAUUUCUUAGCAGCUGCCUUCUGACCCUCCCCUUCACCCUUUUCGGAUAGUUUUGUUUUGCAAAUACCCUUUCCUGAUAGCUAUGUCCCACCAUCUGCAUCAAAACAAGAGAAAGGGGCAGAUGAUCUGUUGGCCACAGACAUUGCUUCCUGCAAUUGACCAUAUUAUUGAUCAAGGGCCAGCAAAAAUAUAGAGAUUUCAAUUAAUUUUACCGUCGACCAAGUAAACUGCAAUUUGUGAGCUGGGACGAUGAAAGAAGAAGAAAUAUGAUUUAAUGGCAAAAAAUAAGUCAACAAUGUUGUCUGAUGUGCAUGAGGAUUUGGUACACGUUUAACAUAAGAAUAUGUAUGCCUUCAAGCCUAAUUUUUGUGCCUUGCAUGUUGUGUUCUUUUAGUAUAUAUUUUUCUCCCGUUGCAACGCAUGGGCAUUUUUGCUAGUAUAUCUAUCUAUCCCUAAUGCCUAAUCCCUAAUAAUAAAGCACGGAUUGACUCCGUGGGUUCACCGUCACAAUACGCUUCUCCCCGUGAAUUUAUGCUUUCAGUUUUUUCACCUAUAUUAUUUUCUACAUCCGAGGUGGUACUAUUUCAUCCAAAAACGUUUAAUUCCAGAAUUUUAUCCGUUCACGUGUGGGCCGCUUGCCCUGUCUGCUUCGCUGUCGCUGGUCCGACUCCCUCGCUAUCAUCGGCCCGUGUUGUAAAAAAACGUUUCGCUGUUUACUCCUCUCACCCAUCUCCUUCUUUGACCCACACACGAACAAGCUAGGGCUGGAGCCGCCGCCCCUCCGGCCUGCCCGCCGGAGCUCCGUCCGCCACUCUUCUCCAUCUUCUCCCCCCACCUCUACUCCCCCAGGCCCAACUGUGGUGGAUGACAUGCCCGCCGGCGCUCCAUACUCCCCUCUUCUCCAUCUUUCCCCUCGCCAUCUCCCUCCUCACUCCCUGUUCCGCCCCCACCCCUACUGCUGCAGGCUCAACCAUGGUGGUCAACACGGGGAUGUGAGCGUGCACGGGCGGCAUCGGUGGACAAGAGAUGCGUAGAGGAUCUCAAGUGCUGCAGACGCUGGCGAGAUAUUCCAAAAUAAAGGAGGCGGCUAGAGGAAGCAUUGGAAGCCAAGUUCAGCAGCAACGGUCAGCUGUCGUCGGUGGCCGGAUGACGACAUCUGUAAAGGAAUGAGGGUGGUCGGAGACCGACAACAGGGGGCUACUGAACUAGGCAAGCUACCAUCACUCCAUCAUCCCCGGAGAUCAUUUGGUGAUGUCUGCUGCAUCACAUUAUGGACUGGAGGCGCGGACUGCCCCGCACAAGGCAUUGGCAGGAAUUCUUGAUGAUUGAGGAAAUUAUGGCAGGCAUUCUUGAUGGUAUAUUAAAUCUUGGUUUGAUGGGUACUUUUGUGAAGAAACUAUUGAGUCCCAGGAGACCUACACGCCCAUAUAUUAAGAAAGACAGAAAGAACAAGUUUUUAUGACUGAAUCUAAUGCAUGGUUAAGCAUUUCGUUUUCCAUUACAUCUGAUCCGAUUCCAAUGCUUGCUUAGUUGUUAGGACAAAUGAAUCCAGAUGGUUGUAAUGAGUAAUAAGAUGAGCAAGGUGCGGGGGCAGUGUUGUGGCUAGAGUAUUUUAGAGUCCAGAUUAUUGCUGCUACCUCUACUCUCCUCUGCCAUUUGGUAACUAAUGACAACGCAGCAGCUGCGUGGUUCACGGUUUACGGAAUCUCGAUUGCAAGUGCCUAUACGAUGUUCUUCUGCCCAUCUAAAUUCCACAUGUUAUGUGAGUGGUACAGCCGCAUGAAUUCGUGAUAUGUAUUUCGGCCUGGUUCAAAGGAGCAGUCUGGCAAUAUGAGCAUUUGUACAAACUAUCUAGGACAUCAAGUUCACUUGGGUCCGCUUAUUUACCUACAAACUACAGAUGAGACCCACUAGAUCAAUUAGUGCCAUCUCCAGAUUUCUAUCAUCAUGUUGCUUCGUUUAUCUGCAUAAGUUCCACUUGGAGUUGCAUGCAUUAAACAUAGUGUUUUUUUAGUGGGCAUCAGACUUG